Lycium barbarum (goji berry) is the source of this 527-nucleotide long non-coding RNA. RefSeq lists it as uncharacterized. Lineage: Eukaryota; Viridiplantae; Streptophyta; Magnoliopsida; Solanales; Solanaceae. The record is from RefSeq and is a predicted model, not a curated record. The transcript is spliced from 4 exons.
CCCAAAUCUCAUUAUGUCUUUUAUUUUCACUUUUGGCAGUUGCAUCAGACCCUUUUAUCGGUAUUGUUCAUCUUUGGCUUUCACUUUUCUUCCAAUUCUUGGGUUAAGACUUGAGAUGGACGAAUGUGUGAAAAUCAACACAACUAGCAAUCUGGUACAACAAUGCACAAGCUGUUGGAAGAUCUAUCUUGGGUCACUCAACUUUUGGAUUAGAAUUUAGUUUGACAACUCUUUGGGACAAAAUAGCAUCUAGAAUACAAUGCAACAAUGAUGAUUAUGCUAAUCAGGAGUUGUUUUCUCUAACUUCAAUCGAGGAAGGAUAAGGUUCUUCAAUAACGGGAAAUGAAGUCAACCACAACUAGAAGUUUGAAGACAACAAAAUAGUUUGGAGACAUUUUAUGUUAUUUUUUUGGGUUAUACAUCUGUACAAAGAAAAUGGGUUAUAAAUUUAUAAUGUAUACAUCUGUACAAAGAAAAUGGGUUAUAAAUUUAUAAUAUAUACUUUAUAUACUUUAUGUUUUAUUAUC